RNAcentral lists this ribosomal RNA (287 nucleotides) under Escherichia coli. Its description in RNAcentral is "partial 16S ribosomal RNA". It matches the Rfam family "Bacterial small subunit ribosomal RNA", at positions 114 to 404 of the family's 1533-position model. The record is from RNAcentral. Lineage: Bacteria; Pseudomonadati; Pseudomonadota; Gammaproteobacteria; Enterobacterales; Enterobacteriaceae.
GGUCCGGGGAACCUGCCUGAUGGAGGGGGAUAACUACUGGAAACGGUAGCUAAUACCGCAUAACGUCGCAAGACCAAAGAGGGGGACCUUCGGGCCUCUUGCCAUCGGAUGUGCCCAGAUGGGAUUAGCUAGUAGGUGGGGUAACGGCUCACCUAGGCGACGAUCCCUAGCUGGUCUGAGAGGAUGACCAGCCACACUGGAACUGAGACACCGUCCAUACUCCUACGGGAGGCAGCCGUGGGGAAUAUUGCACAAUGGGCGCAAGUGUGAUGCUCUCUGUCACGUGU